CCUAGUCGAUUCAGAAACUCAGACUUUCCCAAUGUUUCUCAAUGACUCGUGUAGUAAUUGCUGUAAUCUGUUCGCCAUAGCCUAGCAAGUCAUCUGAGACCAUCUCAAUCAUAGUUUUCUGUCUGAUCAGCUGAGGUGAAGCUCUGAGCUGAGGCUAGCAAGUCAUCUGAGACCAUCUGAAUCAUAGUUUUCUGGCUGAUCAGCUGAGGUGAAGGUCUCAGCUGAGGCUACCGAGUCAUCUGAAUUAUAGUUUUCUGUUUAGCCCAGGUGAAGGCCUGAGUCAUGGCGGAAAGUGAAAUUAAGUCACGUGAAGCAAAGGUGAAUUUUGAUGAAGAUGUUUUAGCAGCGAUAGCAGAAGUCUAUCAGGAAGAAGGAGACAAAGAAUUCACAAGAAAAGAAGUUUGUAACGCAAUAUACUUCUACACAGAAGGAAUUCAUGUGAACUGUAAGGAUUUCCAGCUUAAUGCCAAGCUGUACAGCAGCAGGGCAAGAGCUUAUUACCAUCUCGGGAAUUUCCACGAGGCCCUGAAUGAUGCAACGGCUGCCGUCAAUUUGGAACCAACUUUGAUUAAGGCCAUAGAAACAGGUAAAAUCCUUGACUCAACUGAUUUAUAACAUGAAUUUUACAAUAACUGCAGAACUUAUCGCGCGCUCGUUGGCUAAUUUUCUUUGUCAAGAUGCAAACAGACGCCUGAACUUAUAACUUAUGCGAUGUUGACGCGAGGAGCAAGAGCGGCUGAGCGGAAUUUGACAAUUUAUUAUUGUAAAAGAACAAAUUGACGCCAGUUUUUCAUGCGUCUGUCUUGUCAUUGACAAUAAA
Molecule: unclassified non-coding RNA, 820 nt
Filed under: Orbicella faveolata
Lineage: Eukaryota; Metazoa; Cnidaria; Anthozoa; Scleractinia; Merulinidae
Description: tetratricopeptide repeat protein 4-like, transcript variant X5
Source: RNAcentral